This 130-nucleotide small nucleolar RNA is filed under the name Drosophila ananassae. RNAcentral describes it as "snoRNA:GF26098". Lineage: Eukaryota; Metazoa; Arthropoda; Insecta; Diptera; Drosophilidae. The record is from RNAcentral.
AGGUUUUUGUUUGAGAGAAAUCAGUCUCUUUUGCAAAUGAUUCAUUUGGGCCAGAGUGACCUCCAUUACGAGCAUAUACCAACCAAGCUGCUAGCUCAGUGGGCAGAUUGGGUGAUGCAUCGGAAACACU